This 373-nucleotide ribosomal RNA is filed under the name uncultured organism. RNAcentral's name for it is "partial 16S ribosomal RNA". It matches the Rfam family "Bacterial small subunit ribosomal RNA", at positions 527 to 896 of the family's 1533-position model. The record is from RNAcentral.
GUAGGUGGCAAGCGUUGUCCGGAAUUAUUGGGCGUAAAGCGCGCGCAGGUGGUUCUUUAAGUCUGAUGUGAAAGCCCCCGGCUCAACCGGGGAGGGUCAUUGGAAACUGGGGAACUUGAGUGCAGGAGAGGAAAGUGGAAUUCCACGUGUAGCGGUGAAAUGCGUAGAUAUGUGGAGGAACACCAGUGGCGAAGGCGACUUUCUGGCCUGUAACUGACACUGAGGCGCGAAAGCGUGGGGAGCAAACAGGGAUUAGAUACCCUGGUAGUCCACACCGUAAACGAUGAGUGCUAAGUGUUGGGGGGGUUUCCCGCCCCUCAGUGCUGCAGCUAACGCAUUAAGCACUCCGCCUGGGGAUACGGUCGCAAGACUG